RNAcentral lists this ribosomal RNA (402 nucleotides) under Triticum aestivum (bread wheat). RNAcentral describes it as "partial small subunit ribosomal RNA". The record is from RNAcentral. Lineage: Eukaryota; Viridiplantae; Streptophyta; Magnoliopsida; Poales; Poaceae.
AUGGACAAUCCUCCGGCCGGCAACGUGGCCCAUCCUCUGGCAGCGGCGGCGGCGGGCAACAAUGUGGCCAACCCUCCGGCGGCGGCGGCAGCGGCAGCAGCAAACAACGUGGCCAAUCCUCCUCCGGCGGCGGCAGCAGCAAACAACGUGCUCGAUCAUCUGGCGGCGAUGGAGGCAGCAGCAGCAAACAACGUGGCCAAUUUUCAGGCGCAGCAAGCAGCAGCGGCUGCAGCGGCGGCGGCGGCGGCGGAUGCUGCUGCAGUGGCUGCCGCUGCAGCGCUGGAGCGGCGCCGCAAGGAAGACAAGGAUUGUGCGUGCUUGUGCUGUGUGUAUAUCUUGGGCGUGCUGCUCUUCUUUGCUGUGAUGAUUCUGCUGACGUCCAAGCCAUGGAAUCGAGGCUAG